RNAcentral lists this ribosomal RNA (494 nucleotides) under uncultured bacterium. Its description in RNAcentral is "partial 16S ribosomal RNA". It matches the Rfam family "Bacterial small subunit ribosomal RNA", at positions 28 to 507 of the family's 1533-position model. The record is from RNAcentral.
GACGAACGCUGGCGGCGUGCUUAACACAUGCAAGUCGAACGGAAAGGCCUGCUUUCCCUUGUGGAUUGCGGGUACUCGAGUGGCGAACGGGUGAGUAACACGUGAGUGAUCUGCCCCCAACUUGGGUAUAAGCCUGGGAAACUGGGUCUAAUUCCCGAUAGGACUGCAGGGUGGUGCCUGUGGUGGAAAACGAUUUUCUAGUGGUUGGGGAUGAGCUCGCGGCCUAUCAGCUUGUUGGUGGGGUAAUGGCCUACCAAGGCGGCGACGGGUAGCCGGCCUGAGAGGGUGGACGGCAACAUUGGGACUGAGAUACGGCCCAGACUCCUACGGGAGGCAGCAGUGGGGAAUAUUGCACAAUGGGCGGAAGCCUGAUGCAGCGACGCCGCGUGGGGGAUGACGGCCUUCGGGUUGUAAACUCCUUUCGACCGCGAGGAAGCCACCUGGUUGGAAGGGUGGUGACGGUAGUGGUAGAAGAAGCACCGGCUAACUACGUG